This is a long non-coding RNA of Corvus hawaiiensis (hawaiian crow), 4020 nucleotides long. RefSeq lists it as uncharacterized. Lineage: Eukaryota; Metazoa; Chordata; Aves; Passeriformes; Corvidae. The transcript is spliced from 4 exons. The record is from RefSeq and is a predicted model, not a curated record.
CAGACGGCACAACCGGGGGGUGAUGCCGUGCAUGCCUGGCCCAGCCUCGCCGGCGGAGCCUCUCUCUCUGGAGUGAAGAUCAGCAGCUGGACUGACAAACGACUGGGAGAGGGGAGGGUAGUCCAUUUGUUCUACAAAGAAUUUGUUUUGUGGAUAUCCAGGCAGCCCAUCUUCUGACAGACUGAAGAGCAGGUAUUGCAGCUGGUGUCACUGAAAUAGGUGCAGCAGAAAGGAUCAUUACCAAGAAUGGAAACCAAAGUGAUUUGAUGCCUGGGCCUUCUUCCUUCAGUACUGCAGCUCAUUGGAAGAUCCAUGUUAGCAGCCCAGGUGAGUAAACUUUUCUUCAGCUCCACAAACCCACUGUUCACAGACUGUUGCCAAAAGGAGCUCAUCCGUAUGGUCCCAUAUCUGCCCUCAAUGCAGGGAGACAGGAACCAACAGAUCACACUGCAGACCCAACCAAGCAUCUCCUUCCCAGCAGGAGAAUUAACAGCCUAGGUCUAGGACUGAGUUCAAGGGGCAAACUCCCAGAAGGAGCUCUGCAGGACAUUGUCUCAGAGCAUCUGGGUGAGAUCACCCAGCAGGGCACCACACAAAGUCCUCCUGGGUGCACCUAAAAGGAGCUGGACGAACCACUGUAACCUCGAUGGGAAUCUCAAAGAAACCAGUGCUGGGGACAUUUAGUCAGACAGGGGGGUCUCUGCAAAACACCUCCUGACCCCAAAAUCUUCACCUCUGGAGGUUGUAUACUCCUCCUCCCCAAGCAAACAAAAUGCUGAAGAAAACUACUUUCCUCCUCUGCUAUUUUCCUUCUGUCCUUCAGGCUGGCACUGCUCAGCCUCCACAUUCAGGCAGCAUGCAUUUCCUCUCGAGCACAUUUAAGGAGCACAGACAUGAUCAUUUAAGUGCACGCUUUACUUAGCUAUCCUUAAGAACACAAAAUAGACCCAGAAAAAAAAGACGGUGUCUGUAUGCUCAUUAAAACGCUUUCAGCCCAGGGCAAGGAUUUGAUCAAAAGGAUUCCUGCCAAUGGAAGGGCAUGCUGGAGCCAUUGUAAGAAGUUAUGUGCGAGCGUCUGCCUUCCUUUCCUUUUCUUUCUUGUGCCCUGUCCCUUCCACUGCCACCUCCAAUCUCUUUUCUUCCAGCUGGGGGAACAGAAGAGAUUUUACUUCCUUGAUGACAAUUGUGUCCUUUGAGCAGCCAAAGCAAAAGGCACUUUGAGUUCAAAUGAGACUGUGACUUAAACCAAUAUUAGCCAAGACCAACACAUGUUUAUUGUAAUAUAAGUAACCUUCAUUCAGAUCAGCAGGUUUUCCUCACCCCACUGCAGUUUUACCCAUUGCCUUUCAUUCUUCCAAAAUGAAUAAAUGAAAUGGCUGCACAUUUUUAUUCACAGCAGUGGGUUUCAGAACUUCAAAUCAGAGAGGCGUUUUGAUUUUAGAAAUAAACUCCAGAGGAAACAGUUUCAGCCAGAACUUUCAUAUAUUUUUUUUACCAGUUUAAGGUAACAUCAAAACUCACCUUUCCAAAAAAAUGAAACCUCACAGCAUUCUUUUAAUCCAAAUUAAAUAAAGUGUCAUCCCUGUGUCCUCUUCCUUCAUAUUUAGAGGGAAAGAAAACUAUCCUGCCCAUACUUUAAUGGUUUUGUCUGCAAAUCCUAAAUGCUCUGCUGCUGCAAAUUUCAAAUGAUCUUAUACAGCCAAAGUCUCUUUGGUGUCAGCAGCUGCCCAGGUAGCAACACAACCACGAGAACGCUGCUGAUCAGAACAAUGAAUGCCUGAUCUACAGAUGUCAUAUCAAGGUAGAAAUCUUGAUGAGCAUUGUAGUGACAUUACAAAGUGGAUUACACAUGCUGUAUCUGGGUCAGAGAAGGAGUUAUUUCAGUAAGGUCAACAAAGUACUUCUAGCCAAACUUAUUUUUCAACAUUUUGAGGGAUAUGCUUUUGUUUGUUACCUCAUGUUGCACCUAAUAACAAUGCUCUCUCUGUUCUCCUGUAUCAGUCUGGAAGCAAAGUUAAAAAGAAGACAAAACACUCCCAUGCCUGGGGUCAUUCAAUUUCAGAGGUGGGUUCCAGCUCCCUGCUCUACUUUCCUUCAUGACUGGGGGCCCAGCUGCUGGUGGCCAGAGAAGCUUUUGAGCUACACCGUCAAAGUGUGUGUCCCAUGUGUCCCUCUCUCCCUGCCUACACUCUCCACCCAGUGAGAGGAUACAAUUAGGACUUUCUUGCUUUCCAGGUGUGUUGGUGUUUGUCAAGGAAACAAAUAUAGCAAGGUUGUAGGUCCUCAGAUGCUCCAGCCCACAGGCAGAAUAAGUACUAAAACACUUAUUUUUGGAUGCGCAGGUCCCUACCUGGCGAAGUGGUCACUGUUGAGCACAAAACACGCCUCACCUUCAACCAUCUUUCCCAGAGAUGGACAACAAGCCAAAAGCUAAGGUACCUACCAUUCCUUCAUGGCAGACAGGAGAUGAAGUUGCCUUACCCAGGGAAUGUGGCAUUUCUAAGCUGUUGGCUUACAAUACUGUGGGUGGGAGGACGUGAUACUUGUAAGAUUUUUUUUGUUGGCUGUACCAAUACCUUUUCUUGUCUUAAUUUUGAAAUGGAAUUUUUUUUUUCCCUCCCAGAAUUUGGGGCAAACCAAAUACCAAGUGUAGUUCUUGACAUUUGACAUCUUAUGUUUCCAAAUUCAAUAGGCUCCCUGGGAUGCUGGCAGCUGCAAACAAAAUUGGAACAACUGUCCAUGCCCUUCAGCCAUGCUGGGGUUCUCCAUGCCAGUAGCUCUGCAGCACCCACCACACACUGAACCUCCUGGCUCCUCAAAUCCCCUGCAGAGGACAGCCUGGGUCUUGUGCCUAGCUUGGUAUGGCUUGGGCAAGAUGCACAUGCUAAAAAUACGCUAUGAGAUUGUCAAGAGAGCGAUAGCCUUGCGUUGGAAAGAGAGACUCUUCAAGGCAGUACUUCAGCUCUAUUAGUCCUUACCCAACCCAAAAGCUAGGGGUGCAACUUAGGGAUGCACUAGCAAUCACACCUGAUAAUCCAAAAGACCUCCUUCCACCAUUAAGGGCUUAGAAAUUUUUUCCCAGCUUCAAGUCUUGACAGAAAUCUAUUUUAAUGCUCAAGUAUUACUCAGAGUGAACUCAGAUAAACUGACUUUUGUACAGGUCCUUUGCACCACAGUAGCCUGCCUAAAACUGCAGAGGCAGAUCUUAACUGAAGCAUUGAUGUCACCUCUGAACAGCUCAAACCUAAAAGGAGAUAUAUGCCUAUAUAGAUAUAUAUAUAUCAAGAGGGAAAAAAAUGUUCCAGUUAUCUGACCUAAUUAUAAACAUAAUCCAAUUGUGUUGUUUGUAUUUUUUAAGGAAAAAAAAGACCUAUUUCUACUCACUUAAAAAAGUGGAAAUCCUCAUACCACAAAUCCUCACAUUUCUGUAAGAGUCAAAAAUGGAAACCAGAUCUGUAACUGAAAGCUGUAAUUAUCAAGGCUAACCUUUCCUGACUGAGAAAUGCAGAAUUAAAAAAGCUAAAACAUCAAGUUAAGAAAAAACAUUCAAAAGCUUAAAUAAUUGAAAGCAAGCAAAAGUGUUUCUUUUUCCAGUUGCCAUCCUGCAUGUCAAAAAACCUGUGAAAUCCUUUGGGGGUAGUAAGAAGCCUAUGCUGUAUUUAUUUCUCCAUGAUGACAGUAUACUUUAUUCCAGAACAGUGGUACAUGUGUCAGACACAUCUGGCUCAACAAGGAUAUGAUCCAACACCCAAGGAGCACAACUAAGGUUAUCCCAUUGACUUCUGUAGGCAUUCCUCCAAGCUACUACCCUCUUGGUGCUGCCAUUACUUCCCUUAAUGGAUAAUUCUGAGCUCACAUCUGUGUUCUAAAACGUUGCUGGUGGUACAUAAAGAGUGAGUUUAUUUGCUUUUAUUAUGGUGUAUGGUUCACAUUCUAUCAAUGUAAUCCAAGGUUUAAGUUUGAUGUUAAAUAAUCGACCUGUUUAAGGAGGGAAACUAAGGGCACCCCCCAAUGUUUUAA